AUUGAACGCUGGCGGCAUGCUUUACACAUGCAAGUCGAACGGCAGCGGGGAGGAGCUUGCUUCUCUGCCGGCGAGUGGCGAACGGGUGAGUAAUACAUCGGAACGUGUCGAGAAGAGGGGGAUAACCACCCGAAAGGGUGGCUAAUACCGCAUAAAUUCUGAGGAAGAAAGCUGGGGACCUAGGAAUAGGCCUAGCGCUUUUUGAGCGGCCGAUGUCGGAUUAGCUAGUUGGUGAGGUAAAGGCUCACCAAGGCGAAGAUCUGUAGCGGGUCUGAGAGGAUGAUCCGCCACACUGGGACUGAGACACGGCCCAGACUCCUACGGGAGGCAGCAGUGGGGAAUUUUGGACAAUGGGGGCAACCCUGAUCCAGCCAUGCCGCGUGUAUGAAGAAGGCCUUAGGGUUGUAAAGUACUUUUGUUAGGGAAGAAAAGUCAGCUGUGAAUAAUGGCUGAUACUGACGGUACCUAAAGAAUAAGCACCGGCUGACUACGUG
RNAcentral lists this ribosomal RNA (494 nucleotides) under uncultured bacterium. Its description in RNAcentral is "partial 16S ribosomal RNA". It matches the Rfam family "Bacterial small subunit ribosomal RNA", at positions 30 to 507 of the family's 1533-position model. The record is from RNAcentral.